RNAcentral lists this ribosomal RNA (397 nucleotides) under uncultured bacterium. Its description in RNAcentral is "partial 16S ribosomal RNA". It matches the Rfam family "Bacterial small subunit ribosomal RNA", at positions 356 to 773 of the family's 1533-position model. The record is from RNAcentral.
UGGGAAUAUUGCACAUGGCGAAGCCUGAUGCAGCAACGCCGCGUGAGUGAUGAAGGCCUUCGGGUUGUAAAGCUCUGUCUUUUGGGACGAUAAUGACGGUACCAAAGGAGGAAGCCACGGCUAACUACGUGCCAGCAGCCGCGGUAAUACGUAGGUGGCAAGCGUUGUCCGGAUUUACUGGGCGUAAAGGAUGCGUAGGCGGAUUUUUAAGUGAGAUGUGAAAUACCCGGGCUUAACUUGGGUGCUGCAUUUCAAACUGGGAAUCUAGAGUGCGGGAGAGGAGAAUGGAAUUCCUAGUGUAGCGGUGAAAUGCGUAGAGAUUAGGAAGAACACCAGUGGCGAAGGCGAUUCUCUGGACCGUAACUGACGCUGAGGCAUGAAAGCGUGGGUAGCAAAC